CCCUUAGACACUCUAGGCGGCACGCGCGCUACAAUGGAUGGAAAACAGUGUUACUGCUCUCGAAAGAGAGGGUGAAUCACGAAUUCUGACCCGUGAAUGGGAUAGUUUGUUGCAAUUUUCGGACUUGAACUAGGAAUCCCUUGUAAGCAUGCUCAAGAAUAGUAUGCUGAAUACGUCCCUGCCGUUUGUACACACCGCCCGUCGUUUCUUCCGACUGAUACGAAUUGUGAGUUGCAAGGAUCCUUGAUUGGAGAAUUGUCGCAAAUGCUUCGUGUUGGAGGAAGAAAAAGUCGUAACA
RNAcentral lists this ribosomal RNA (298 nucleotides) under uncultured eukaryote. RNAcentral describes it as "partial 18S ribosomal RNA". It matches the Rfam family "Eukaryotic small subunit ribosomal RNA", at positions 1470 to 1796 of the family's 1831-position model. The record is from RNAcentral.